Molecule: unclassified non-coding RNA, 253 nt
Filed under: Hevea brasiliensis (rubber tree)
Lineage: Eukaryota; Viridiplantae; Streptophyta; Magnoliopsida; Malpighiales; Euphorbiaceae
Source: RNAcentral
GUAAUUUCAUUCCUCACCCAACGUUAGGUUCAUAAGAACUGGGGACUUUUUUUUCCCCACCUAUGCGGCCAUAAAUAAUAUUGCUUCUCUACGAUUAUUGCCAAUGUUGUUCUGGGAGAUUUUAUCAUUCCAUAAAUAAUAUACCAAAUAACCACUUCACAAAGUUAUUGUCUCUCCUCAAACUAUAAUAUUUCAACAUCAAUGUUUUUAACUCCACUUUUUCUUGUCCCUUGAAAUAAUUUCCUCAUUAUUU